CAGUGGCAGUAGCAGUGGGCAAUCUAUUACUGGGGAAGAGCCAAAGGGCCAACAUCCGCAGCUCCGGACACGGCCAAUGGACGUGUACAUGGACUAUCUAGGCACUCUCCAUGGGAACUAAAGCCCAGGCUAGCCUUGAACUCACUAUGUAACCAUAGAUGGACCUGAUGAUCCUCCGGCUUUACUUUAGGAGACAGAUGUGACCCACCAAACUCAGUGUAUAGAGUGCUGCAGAUUGGACCCAGGGCCUCUUCUCUACUAGACAAGAGAAGCUUUCACCUCUCCUCGAAGAAGCUGCUGUUCCCACUGGAUGGAGGCCAUCACAGAAACCCACAACUGGUUAGAAUACAAAGAAACAAUGGAGUGUGGAGUGCCCAGCCCCAACAGCUGUAUCUACAACACAACUCCUGCACCUAGGCUCAGGGAAGACUGUAGAAGAGGGGUCAGAACAUUUGUAAGAGCCCAAUGAUCGAGGCCGUAAAAGCUCCUGUGAGGAUGUGUCUCCUGGAAACCGCAGGGAACCUGCAUCCACGAUGCCUCUGCAGUACAGUUAAUGAAACAAGACCUGAGCUACGAGGAUAGCAAUAGAGAGACGUGCAAAUGGACAAUAGCAAUAGACAGGCAAACGGGGAAGGGGCACGUCUCAGGGGGCCCCCACUCCUAGACAAAGAACUACAGGCAACUAGUGACUACUGGGAGGAGAAUUAGCCUCUCCCAGGAAUCUGCCCCUUAAUUGUCAUCCCUGAAAUCCACGCAUACAAGCAACACUAAAUACGCACUAAAUACGCAUCCUGCUGUAUUUAAGCAUUUCCCAUCCACCCUCCCCCACACAUCAGAAAAGGAGGCCAUGAAUCUGAGAAGGAAUAAGUAGAGGCAUAGAAGGAGAGGACAAGGGAGGAUAAAAUGAUGUAAUUACCUUUUAAUUUAAAAAAACCAUUAGGAACUGUUGGGAUUUUGUAACACUGGUCAUUUCGAGUGCUCAGAACUUAAUGUGUUUAU
Mus pahari (shrew mouse) is the source of this 999-nucleotide long non-coding RNA. RefSeq lists it as uncharacterized. The record is from RefSeq and is a predicted model, not a curated record. The transcript has 3 exons. Lineage: Eukaryota; Metazoa; Chordata; Mammalia; Rodentia; Muridae.